GGCUAAUCUGCCCUUAGGACGAGAAUAACCCCGGGAAACUGGGGCUAACUCUCGAUAGGUGAAGAACUCUGGAAUGAGUCUUCACUCAAAAAGCUUCACGUUAUCCUCGUGAAGUCGCCUAAGGAUGAGGCCGCGGCCGAUCAGGUUGUUGGCGAGGUAACGGCUCACCAAGCCUUUUACCGGUGCGGGCCGUGAGAGCGGGAGCCCGGAGAUGGGUACUGAGACAAGGACCCAGGCCCUACGGGGCGCAGCAGUCGCGAAACCUUUGCAAUACACGAAAGUGUGACAGGGCUAUCCCGAGUGCCAUCCGCUGAGGAAGGCUUUUACCCAGUCUAGAUAGCUGGGGGAAUAAGGAGAGGGCAAGUCUGGUGUCAGCCGCCGCGGUAAUACCAGCUCUCCGAGUGGUGUGGAUGUUUAUUGGGCCUAAAGCAUCCGUAGCUGGCUAGGUCAGUCCCUUGUCAAAUCCACCGAAUUAAUCGUUGGAUCGCGGGGGAUACUGCUUGGCUAGGGGACGAGAGAGGCAGACGGUAUUUUCGGGGUAGGGGUGAAAUCCUAUAAUCCCGGGAAGACCACCAGUGGCGAAGGCUGUCUGCUAGAACGCGCCCGACGGUGAGGGAUGAAAGCUGGGGGAGCGAACCGGAUUAGAUACCCGGGUAGUCCCAGCUGUAAACGAUGCAGGCUAGGUGUUUGGACGGCCACGUGCCGUUCUAGUGCCGCAGGGAAGCUGUUAAGCCUGCCGCCUGGGGAGUACGAUCGCAAGAUUGAAACUUAA
Molecule: ribosomal RNA, 772 nt
Filed under: uncultured archaeon
Lineage: Archaea
Description: bacterial SSU rRNA
Rfam family: Archaeal small subunit ribosomal RNA
Source: RNAcentral